This 179-nucleotide non-coding RNA is filed under the name uncultured Paracoccus sp. The record is from RNAcentral. Lineage: Bacteria; Pseudomonadati; Pseudomonadota; Alphaproteobacteria; Rhodobacterales; Paracoccaceae.
UGUCGGUUUCCGAAAGGAAUUGAAAGGGAAUCCGCCGUGGCGCGCCUUGCGCCUCGAACCGGAACUGCCCCCGCAACUGUAGGCGGUGAGCAGGAUGCGAUGAUGCCACUGUGGCCCUCGGGUCAUGGGAAGGCCGCAUCCCGCCACGACCCGCCAGUCAGGAGACCUGCCGACGCAGA